GACGAACGCUGGCGGCGUGCUUAACACAUGCAAGUCGAACGGUGAAGCCCUUCGGGGUGGAUCAGUGGCGAACGGGUGAGUAACACGUGAGCAACCUGCCCCUGGCUCUGGGACAACCACUGGAAACGGUGGCUAAUACCGGAUACGACCCGCCUCGGCAUCGAGUGUGGGUGGAAAGUUUUUCGGCUGGGGAUGGGCUCGCGGCCGAUCAUCUUGUUGGUGAGGUGAAGGCUCACCAAGGCGAAGACGGGUAGCCGGCCUGAGAGGGCGACCGGCCACACUGGGACUGAGACACGGCCCAGACUCCUACGGGAGGCAGCAGUGGGGAAUAUUGCACAAUGGGCGAAAGCCUGAUGCAGCGACGCCGCGUGAGGGAUGACGGCCUUCGGGUUGUAAACCUCUUUCAGCUCCGAAGAAGCGAAAGUGACGGUAGGAGCAGAAGAAGCACCGGCUAACUACGUG
Molecule: ribosomal RNA, 462 nt
Filed under: uncultured bacterium
Lineage: Bacteria
Description: partial 16S ribosomal RNA
Rfam family: Bacterial small subunit ribosomal RNA
Source: RNAcentral